AUUGCGCCAUUGCACUCCAGCCUAGACAACAAGAGUGAAACUCCAUCUCCAAAAAAAAGAAAAAAGAAAAAAACUUCCUAGUUCUCCUUUUUCCCACUCUAACCCUGCUCCUCCAGAGGUCCUACAGCUACAAUGUCUAGAAGCCAUUUUUUCAGAAACUCCUAAGAACCUGGGACUCAGGCAGGCCCAGUGGAGGGUGGCCAGCCAGAGUGUGCACCAUCUCAGGACAUCGCCAGUGUCCACUCCACUUUCCUGCUCACUGCGCUCUGACUUCUGUGUGAGGGCCCUCCCACACAGAAGGACUCCCAAAUUGGGGGUCCUCCAAUUUGCAUAGUUCUGGAUGGUUUUCACCCACUCUCCAAUUUGCAUAGUUGUGGAUGGCUGGCCCUUUGCUGGGGCCUGGGGUGGGCAUAGAACUCAAACCUGGCCUAGAAGGACAUUGAUUUUGGCCACAGGGAUGGGAGCAGCAAUGGGCUGUGGGCUUUGUGGGUCAUAAGAGCGAGACCAAGACUUCUGCUGGAGUUAUCAGGAACAAGACUCUCUCUCUCUCUCUCCUGGGACUCCCAAGAUGGUAGGGUGCAUGUUGAAGGUACUGCUCAUGCGAAGGCUGCUGGGGAGUGUGGUGGUUCCUUUUAUCUGUUAACUUGGAGGGCAUCUUUGGAUAAGAUUAAUGUUUAAAUUGGUAAACUCUGAAGAAGCAGAUUGCCCUCCAUAAUGGGGAUGGGCCUCAUCCAAUCCACUGAAGGCCUGAGUAGGACAAAAAUGAUUGGCCCUCCCUGCACAAGAGGGAAUUCCUCAGCCGCCCACCUUCGGACUUCACCUGCAUUGUCAGCAAUUCUGGGGCUCUGCUUGCCGGUCUCUAAACCAGAGCGGCACCAUCGGCUCUCCUGCAUCUCGAGUCUGCCAGUCCACAUACCAGGUUCGAGCCUGCCAGUCUCUGUAAUCAGGCACAGAAAACUGACCGUGUACUCUGUUGACCCAGCCUCAACAAACAGGACAUGGUGGCCUGGACCUGUGCUUCUCAGACCAUCC
Long non-coding RNA from Cercocebus atys (sooty mangabey), 1032 nucleotides. RefSeq lists it as uncharacterized. NCBI's taxonomy places the organism in Eukaryota, Metazoa, Chordata, Mammalia, Primates, Cercopithecidae. The transcript is spliced from 2 exons. The record is from RefSeq and is a predicted model, not a curated record.